CCCCUUUUACUAAGCUGAUACAAUAUAGAAUACAGUGUAUAUGAAUUUUUUUCUCUUUUACCACACAUGAUACGUUGCCAGAAACCAACCAUUCUAGCUUUAAUAAGAAUAUGUAAUGGUAUUCUACCCAAUUCUCCAUAAAUCAUACAAUGAGCAGUACUUUUUUUAACAUUCAAAAUUAUUUUACAAAAUUGCAUAUGCAAGUUUUCUAUAAUAUUACAAUUUUCAAAACCCCAAACUUCUGCACC
This 248-nucleotide long non-coding RNA is filed under the name Mytilus galloprovincialis (Mediterranean mussel). The record is from RNAcentral. Lineage: Eukaryota; Metazoa; Mollusca; Bivalvia; Mytilida; Mytilidae.